Molecule: ribosomal RNA, 477 nt
Filed under: uncultured organism
Description: partial 16S ribosomal RNA
Rfam family: Bacterial small subunit ribosomal RNA
Source: RNAcentral
ACACUCCUACGGGAGGCAGCAGUGGGGAAUUUUGGACAAUGGGCGCAAGCCUGAUCCAGCCAUGCCGCGUGCGGGAAGAAGGCCUUCGGGUUGUAAACCGCUUUUGUCAGGGAAGAAAAGGUUCUGGCUAAUACCUGGGACUCAUGACGGUACCUGAAGAAUAAGCACCGGCUAACUACGUGCCAGCAGCCGCGGUAAUACGUAGGGUGCAAGCGUUAAUCGGAAUUACUGGGCGUAAAGCGUGCGCAGGCGGUUAUGCAAGACAGAGGUGAAAUCCCCGGGCUCAACCUGGGAACUGCCUUUGUGACUGCAUGGCUAGAGUACGGUAGAGGGGGAUGGAAUUCCGCGUGUAGCAGUGAAAUGCGUAGAUAUGCGGAGGAACACCGAUGGCGAAGGCAAUCCCCUGGACCUGUACUGACGCUCAUGCACGAAAGCGUGGGGAGCAAACAGGAUUAGAAACCCUGGUAGUCCCAUGAU